Molecule: unclassified non-coding RNA, 353 nt
Filed under: soil metagenome
Description: partial contains 5.8S ribosomal RNA, internal transcribed spacer 2, and large subunit ribosomal RNA
Rfam family: 5.8S ribosomal RNA (bases 1-120)
Source: RNAcentral
GAUGAAGAACGCAGCGAAAUGCGAUAAGUAAUGUGAAUUGCAGAAUUCAGUGAAUCAUCGAAUCUUUGAACGCACAUUGCGCCCGCCAGUAUUCUGGCGGGCAUGCCUGUUCGAGCGUCAUUACAACCCUCAGGCCUCCGGGCCUGGCGUUGGGGAUCGGCGGAAGCCCCCUGCGGGCACAACGCCGUCCCCCAAAUACAGUGGCGGUCCCGCCGCAGCUUCCAUUGCGUAGUAGCUAACACCUCGCAACUGGAGAGCGGCGCGGCCACGCCGUAAAACACCCAACUUCUGAAUGUUGACCUCGAAUCAGGUAGGAAUACCCGCUGAACUUAAGCAUAUCAAUAAGCGGAGGA